RNAcentral lists this non-coding RNA (843 nucleotides) under Pongo abelii (Sumatran orangutan). The record is from RNAcentral. Lineage: Eukaryota; Metazoa; Chordata; Mammalia; Primates; Hominidae.
AGUGUGUGCCUUACUAUGUGUGAGGAGGUGCUGUUUUGCUUUCAGUGUGUAAAUAUCAUGUCUUGAUGGAGAAACUGCAGCAGAGAGGCCCUGCUGCCCCAGCACAUCUGUCACAGCCCACACAACACCUCCAGAGUGAGAGCAACAAACUCAACGAACUGCAAAGUUUUCUGUACCACCUGGGUGCAAGCAGGAAUGAAGAAACUGUGGCCCAGAGAGGUGAAACAACCCAGUCGAUGUCACGUAGCUAAGAUGACAGCUGUUGGCCUGUACCUCGGCCCUCAAGUUUCCCAUGCAAUGUGCUUCCUACUAUUCAUUGUUGCCCCGUCUCUAGGUUGUUAUCAAACGGACCCUGCUAGACUCUGAAUUUCUUCCUGCAAAGAGGACAGUCCAGGUCUGCUGAUGGGUUUCUAACACAGGAAACUCAGGGGUUCUAAUACUUCCUCUUGACCCAGUAACUGACAAGCCCUGAGCCUCAGGAUUCCUGGCCCUGUCCCCUCUCACCUCCUCUGACAAACCAUGGUACUAGAAGAAAAUUACAAGAGAAAAUAUGACACAAAUUGUGAAAGCGGUAUACAGCAGCUCAGCUUUGGGAAACAUGAGUCCUGUCUGCUUAUGGAUGUAUUGAUUCAUGGGUAUUACACUUGUCUCCCAAGUUGCUUGCUGAUGCUUUCAAGGUCAGGUAAUAACAUUCUCCAAGGAACUAAGCAGAGUGGCUGGCCUCAUUUCUCCCCUGACCUGCAGGCUGGCUGGCUGGUUGACUUGCUUCUGGGAAAUGGCAGCCUUUUGCUCCCUGUGCCCCUCCCCGACCAGGCAGCUCACUCCCUUUGUAGUAGCCUCAUG